RNAcentral lists this non-coding RNA (30 nucleotides) under Rattus norvegicus (Norway rat). Lineage: Eukaryota; Metazoa; Chordata; Mammalia; Rodentia; Muridae. The record is from RNAcentral.
UUGGCUCAUGGUUUCUGAGGCUUUGGUCCU